CUAUGCGCCUUGCCAGCCCGCCUCAGAAACUCAAAGGAAUUGACGGGGGCCCGCACCAAGCGGAGGAGCAUGUGGUUUAAUUCGAUGAUACGCGAGGAACCUUACCUGGGCUCGAACGUAAGAUGACUGUAGGUGAAAGCUUACAUCUCUUCGGAGCAUUUUACGAGGUGCUGCAUGGUUGUCGUCAGCUCGUGCCGUGAGGUGUCGGGUUAAGUCCCAUAACGAGCGCAACCCCUACCUUUAGUUGCCAUCAGGUUAAGCUGGGGACUCUAAAGGAACUGCCUACGCAAGUAGUGAGGAAGGCGGGGAUGACGUCAAAUCAGCACGGCCCUUACGGCCUGGGCUACACACGUGCUACAAUGGUCGGUACAAAGGGUUGCCAAGCCGCGAGGUGGAGCUAAUCCCAUAAAACCGAUCGUAGUCCGGAUCGCAGUCUGCAACUCGACUGCGUGAAGUCGGAAUCGCUAGUAAUCGUGAAUCAGAAUGUCACGGUGAAUACGUUCCCGGGCCUU
Molecule: ribosomal RNA, 512 nt
Filed under: uncultured Sphingobacteriales bacterium
Lineage: Bacteria; Pseudomonadati; Bacteroidota; Sphingobacteriia; Sphingobacteriales
Description: bacterial SSU rRNA
Rfam family: Bacterial small subunit ribosomal RNA
Source: RNAcentral